GCGCACUUGAGUGCACCUGGGAGCAUCUGAGUGCACCUGGGAUCACACCUGGGAACACCUGAGUGCACCUGGGCACACCUGAAAGGGUACCUGGGCACACCUGAGCGCACCUGGGAGUGCCUGAAAGUGCACCUGGGCACACCUGAGUGCACCUGGACACACCUGAGUGCACUUGAGUGCACCUGGGAGCAUCUGAGUGCACACCUGGACACACCUGAGUACACAUGGGCACACUUGAGUGCACAUGGGAUCACACCUGAGUGCACCUGGGAUCACACCUGGGCACACCUGAGUGCACCUGGAGGCACCUGAGCACACCUGGGCACACCUGAAUUCACACCUGAGCCAACACCUACACACACCUGCCUGGCAAAGGCUCCAAUCCCUGCAAUUCCAGCCCCAUCCAGGUACCCCAGGUGGAAUUUCCAGCCCCAUCCAGGUAUCCCAGGUGGGACCCCAGCCCCAUUUGCACCUGAGGGUGAAGGGCACGGUGUCGAAGCGCCGCUCCACCUCGCUGAAGAAAUUCCAGAGAUUUCCCAGCCCUAUAUCCCGGUAUCCCAACCCCAUCCAGGUACCCCAGGUGGAAUUUCCAGCCCCAUCCAGGUACCCCAGGUGGGACCCCAACCCCAUCCAGGUAUCCCAGCCCUAUCCAGGUGGGACCCCAGCCCUAUAUCCUGGUACCCCAACCCCAUCCAGGUACCCCAGGUAGAAUUUCCAGCCCCAUCCCGGUACCCCAGGUAGAAUUUCCAGCCCCAUCCAGGUACCC
RNAcentral lists this long non-coding RNA (766 nucleotides) under Zonotrichia albicollis (white-throated sparrow). Its description in RNAcentral is "lncRNA (ENSZALG00000002133.1)". The record is from RNAcentral. Lineage: Eukaryota; Metazoa; Chordata; Aves; Passeriformes; Passerellidae.